GAAGUGUUUAGCAUGAUACUUACGUAGAUCACUCUUGGGAGUGGGAGGUGUCAUGAUAAGAUGAUGCUGAGUCCCUUGAAGUUGUUUGUCCUCCCAAAAUAUACUGAUAGGGGGUGCUUGUCACUGUGUAACAACCUCAGCCUUUUUUGCACUUGGUGCUAGUGAAAAGUUGAGGGAAAAUCCAACCAUGCCCACAGGACAGAAAUACUUUUUUUUUUUUUAAACCAAAGAAAAGCCUUUUUACAAAAUAGCAACUCAUCAGGGAAAAGAAAUGUCCGAACUAAAUGAGAGCAGGCUGCACGUUGGACCUGCUGACAUGAAGCCAGGGCAAGGUGCUUCCCCACUCUGGCCUGCGUUUCCUCCUCUGCAUAAGGAGAAUUUUGGAUUUGGUCCUCUCCCGGGUCAGUCCACCUCUAACACUCUGUCAUGCCAGGUGAUAACCAAAAUAUCUAGAUCCAGCAUUCAUGUCUGCAAUGUUCUUGCUUUGCUAGCAAGGCCCCUGCCACCAAGAGGAGAUCACACGUUUUCUAGAUGUCCUUUUUUACCUCCCCACAGGGUCACUGGGGCUUCCCUGUAGGUGAGGUCCUUGGGCAAGUCUACCUCUCUACACCUCAGUUUCCUCAUCUGUGAAAUGGGGAUAAUAACAAUGGUCUCAACAGCACGGGGUUGAGGGGAAAACGAAAUAGGAUGCUAGGUGCAAAGUGCAUAGCAUGGGACAAGAACUUUGCCAAAGUCAACGAAGAGCUCAGUGUUCUGCAUUGGUGCCCGCCUCCAUGCUCAGGUCCUCAAGAGACCCGUGACGGUCUUCCCUUGAUCUUGGCUUUGGUGUUGGUGAUGGCGGUAAGGAAUCAUCUAGUAGCCAAGUAGGACCUUUUAUUCCUGAGGACUAAUGAGACUGUGAACUUUGUGAAUCCUCCACUCCUAGCAGCCAGAAGACUCAGCCCAGGCCAGAGGUCGUGGUCUGUGGGGCUCUGGUGGUCAGCAGAAGAGGCCAGGAUAGAGCGAGACGGACAAUGACCACGAGCACAGAAAGCUGCAGAGGAGCAGGAUCCAGAAGCAGAAGCUUGUGACUUGGCACCUGUUUCCGGAACCCACUAUGGCCCAACCUUCUCAGAAGAUUUUGCACCUUGAGCCAAAGAGGAUGCAGGGCUCUUGGGACCCAAGAGCCUGAGUAGGGCUUCUGCCCUCCCUCUCCGGCCUGAAGUUUCCCAUUCAUCAGCUGGAACCUUCACACCUGCCCAGAGGACUGCUGACUCGCACUGACGGUGGCCACAAGGUGACAGCUUGUGUCCUGUGGGGGUAGAUGGUGAUAACCAUCUGGUAACCAAGCAGAUGAAGUCCUGGGGUGAUGAAAUCUUAGGAAGUAAAGAAGAUUGGUCUUGUCCUUAGCUAUCCUCACUCCUUUGGAGCAAGCCCCCAAAGUCCCUGCCACAGCAGGCCCUGGGCAUGGAAGGGAUGACUGAUGACAGUGUCAUUGUCAAGGAUGGGUAUGCCAAGGAUGGAAGAGUGGCUGCUUCUGCCUUGCACCAUUCCCCUCUCCUGAGCCAGCCUCCUUCCUACCUUUUGACUCCCUCUCAGGCAGUAGUCACAGCCUUCUAGAGACAAAGCUGGCGCAAAUCACAGGUCAGCUGGCCUGCAGGGCAGUGGGAACCCCCAGGGCGUGGGUGGAAAGGGCAGAGGCGGGCUGGACCAUUUAUCUAUCUGUCUGAGAGUUACUGAGCACUGGCCAGAGACUGCUCAUUUCUUCUCAAUAUUUCCUCCUGUCCCUUAGAAUCCUGACUUUAACUGGGAAUAAUGCUGCCCUUCCCGGUGGGAAUAACACUGCCCUUCCCAGUGGGAUAAGCUUCCUAGCUGAUGUAACCAUGCAUUAAGGUUAGGCCAAUGAGAUGUAAACUGAAUUAUUGUAUAGAACUGCUAGAAAUUUUCGCCAAAAAAAACUGGUAUGCCUUUUUAUGCCUCUUUGUGCCUUUUUGUUCCUGACACAGAAUUCAGAUGUGAUGGCUGCAGCUUAAGCAGCCAUCAUGGACCAUGAAGUAGACACACUAAACCUGCUGCAGGAGCAAGAUGGAAGGAGUCUGGACCUCUGACAAUGACAGUUUCACAAAACUUUUCCUGGGGUGUACGCCUCCAGACACCUCUUAUUCCUGAGAGGCAGAUAAACUGCUCCCUUUUAAAGCCACUGUUGUUUUGAGUUGAUCUGUUACACAUAGUCAAACCUGAUCCAAACUCAAAAAUAAAAGAAAAAGCAAAAAAACCUGAUCCAAACUGAUUCAAGUCCCUGCUGUGUGACAGACACUCUUCGAGGUUGUGGUGACCCAGCAGUGAGGAUAGGAUGGUCACCAGCACAGUGACCAUAGUGCCUGCCCUGUACAGCCACAUUCCAGUGGAGAGAAAGCUAUAUAUGAGGAAACA
Molecule: long non-coding RNA, 2412 nt
Filed under: Homo sapiens (human)
Lineage: Eukaryota; Metazoa; Chordata; Mammalia; Primates; Hominidae
Description: HSALNT0070240
Source: RNAcentral